Molecule: transfer-messenger RNA, 399 nt
Filed under: Candidatus Saccharimonadota bacterium
Lineage: Bacteria; Candidatus Saccharimonadota
Also listed under: 1 other name
Rfam family: transfer-messenger RNA
About the family: Bacterial tmRNA, also known as 10Sa RNA or SsrA, is named for its dual tRNA and mRNA-like properties.
Source: RNAcentral
GGGGCUGAUAUUUUAAGCUCGACGUAGGACUUUAUCGGUUAGAUUCGCAGGUCGCUUAUCAGCGUUAUAGGUAAAACUUUUUAGAUGCAAAUUCUAAAAUUAGCGAUGCUAAAGAGGUAGUAGCAAACUUGUUUGCUCGCAGCUUUGCAUUCGCACCAGCUGUAGCCUAAUGUUACAGCCGCGAUGAGUGCGAUAUCAGAUAGUGCUUUAUUCGCGCCAUAUUUUCUGGUUGCGUGUGGUGACUUUUUGUAAGCCACAUUAAGCUUUACAAAAUGCGUAGCUAUAUAAUUUUGUCUGUUUUGACGUGUAGCUACUAAGAAACCUUCAAACAGACUAAACCUGUAGAGAACUAGCUAUUAAACCUCACGGACCCGGGGGCAGUACCCGGCAGCUCCACCA